CUACUCAUCAAAUCCACAUGCAAACAUCCUUUAAUUUGUCCUUUCCCUCCCCUACAUUUUCUCUCCUCUUCAUCUUUCCCUCUCUUUAUUAAUUGUUAUAUGGUGUGUGUGUUAAUGAGUUGAUGAUGAUGGGAUGAUGACGAACAUAGAGAGAGAGAAAGAGAAAGUAUAUAUAUAUAUAUAUAUAUAUAAUUGAGCUCAUGUGCUUUUAAAAGUACCAAGUUAUUAGUGCUGGUAGAUUUUGAACCAUUGGAUUAAGAGAUAUGCGGUUAUGAUGAUGUGGGCCCCUAGGGUUGAGUGGGUGGUUGGUUGAAUAGUAUAAUCUAAUGGUUGAAAAUGAUCCGAGAAGUAGAUCUAAUGGUAAAAAACUUACAAGCACCAAGUGCUUGGUGCUUUUACAAGCACCAUAGCUGGACUAUAUAUAUAUAUAUAAUGUAGAGCUACGUAUGCUAUCAGAAAUAUAGAGAAUUUGAUGGUUCCAAUUUUUUGACCUUUGGAUUAAAAUUGUAUGAUUGGGAUGAUUGCUGUCCCCCUAGGAUUGAAUAGUACCUCUAAAAUUGAAUGGUCCCCACAGGAUAAUAAUAUUAAUCCAAAAGUUAAAAAUAAUUAAAGAAACUGAUCUAAAGACCAAAAAAUUGGAAGCACCAGAUAUUCUAUGCUUCCGAUAGUAUAAUAGCUUUACUCUCUCUCUCUAUAUAUAUAUAAUAUA
This 709-nucleotide long non-coding RNA is filed under the name Ananas comosus (pineapple). Its description in RNAcentral is "long non-coding RNA (ACOM_LNC030045)". Lineage: Eukaryota; Viridiplantae; Streptophyta; Magnoliopsida; Poales; Bromeliaceae. The record is from RNAcentral.